Molecule: long non-coding RNA, 1592 nt
Filed under: Brassica napus (rape)
Lineage: Eukaryota; Viridiplantae; Streptophyta; Magnoliopsida; Brassicales; Brassicaceae
Description: long non-coding RNA (BNAP_LNC024463)
Source: RNAcentral
AAGUAUGAUUUUUUUAAAGUUGGUUUGAAUUAAGUCACUCGAUAAUAUUAGGAAUAUUUUGUGUUGAGUAUGGAUAAUAAAUUGUAAAAGCUAGAAUAGGUCCAAAAGUUAAUGACAACCUUUUUAAGUAGAUAAAAAGUAGAACUCUAUUUUAAUAGAUUAGACUAGAUUUGGAUCCGCACAACCGUGCGGGUAUUAAUUUUCAUGUUUAUAUAUAUUUUACAUAAUUAUAGUAUAUUUUUUAAGUUACUUAUAUAUUUACAUGUUUAUAUAUAAUUAUUUUAAAGAUAGCAAUUUGAUAGUUUUCAUGUUGUAAGUUAAUUGAUUAUUUCAAAUUGAGUUAAGAUAUCAAAUCCUAGUAAUAUAGUAUAUGGGAAGUCAACACAUAAACGGAUAAAAUCUGUAAAAUAAAAAAAUUUACUUUUCAAUUCUAACAGUUUAUAUAAAAACUAAAGAAUAUAGAUGGGAAGUUGGUAGAUGACAAAAUCAAAUUAUAAGGGAAGAAAUAUUAAAAAUAGCUAAUCUGUACUACUAAAAUCUAACAGUUUAAUAGUUUAAAUAUUUACGGUCCUGAAGAUUAGGUCUUGUAGAUUUGAUCAAAUCCUUUUUUUUGAGGUAAGAAAUAUUUCGAUGAAGCUGAUUUUAUGUAGAUCUUUAUUAGAUAUAAAUAUUUUGAAAUUUUGAAAAUACAAUAUAUAUCAAUUUACCAUUUUUAUUAAACUCACCGUAAUUUUCAUCUAAAUUUAUGACUUAAGCUAAUCUUAAAAAUGUGUAUGAAUAGAAACAAAAAUAUAAAGAAUUGUCUUAUUUACAAAGGUUUGUUUCAAAUGUAAUAGAUGAAACAGAUCAUAUUUGGCUUACAUGAUUGUGGAUAUUAGACAUUCAAGCUUCAUUGCUGACUAUGUUAUGUUCAUAAUGGCAGAAAACGUAAUGAAAGUUUAAGUAGAUGUAACAGAGGAACAAACGAUUUCGGUUUAGAUAAAGGCCUCACAUUCAAGCUUCAUUGGUGAUAGAUGAUGUGGAAAUAAAACGAUUCGGUUUUUUAUUCAAACCAAACGUAAUUCUAGAGAUUGUUAAAAUGUUUAGUAUGAUGAAAUAUGGACAAAUAUGUAUUGAUAUGAAUUGAUUUGAUUAUGGUAUGUUGCAUGUGCAAUUCGUAAACUGAAGAUGAGCAAUUAUGAGGUUUAUAUUGACCUGAUAUUACCUGUACGUAUUGAAGCGAUCGAACAGAGACAAAUAGACGCCUUGUGCUAGUAUUGUUUGUGUAAGGUCGGUUUACUAUUGGUACGAUUAAAAGUUAUAUUUGUUAGCUUUCAGUAGAUAACCAAAGUAUGAUUUUUUUAAAGUUGGUUUGAAUUAAGUCACUCGAUAAUAUUAGGAAUAUUUUGUGUUGAGUAUGGAUAAUAAAUUGUAAAAGCUAGAAUAGGUCCAAAAGUUAAUGACAACCUUUUUAAGUAGAUAAAAAGUAGAACUCUAUUUUAAUAGAUUAGACUAGAUUUGGAUCCGCACAACCGUGCGGGUAUUAAUUUUCAUGUUUAUAUAUAUUUUACAUAAUUAUAGUAUAUUUUUUAAGUUACUUAUAUAUUUACAUG